This 482-nucleotide ribosomal RNA is filed under the name uncultured bacterium. Its description in RNAcentral is "partial 16S ribosomal RNA". It matches the Rfam family "Bacterial small subunit ribosomal RNA", at positions 30 to 507 of the family's 1533-position model. The record is from RNAcentral.
AUUGAACGCUGGCGGCAUGCUCUACACAUGCAAGUCGAACGGUAACAGGCCGCAAGGUGCUGACGAGUGGCGAACGGGUGAGUAAUGCAUCGGAACGUGCCCAGUCGUGGGGGAUAACUACUCGAAAGAGUAGCUAAUACCGCAUACGAUCUAUGGAUGAAAGCGGGGGACCGUAAGGCCUCGCGCGAUUGGAGCGGCCGAUGUCAGAUUAGGUAGUUGGUGGGGUAAAGGCUCACCAAGCCAGCGAUCUGUAGCUGGUCUGAGAGGACGACCAGCCACACUGGGACUGAGACACGGCCCAGACUCCUACGGGAGGCAGCAGUGGGGAAUUUUGGACAAUGGGCGCAAGCCUGAUCCAGCAAUGCCGCGUGCAGGAAGAAGGCCUUCGGGUUGUAAACUGCUUUUGUACGGAACGAAACGGCUCUGGUUAAUACCCGGGGCUAAUGACGGUACCGUAAGAAUAAGCACCGGCUAACUACGUG